AAAGAGGAAAACAGCUGCUCUUCCCUGGCUGUGACCAGCUGGAACAUCCCAGCAGCAUCCUGCAUCCCAGUAAAAUCUGCCACAACAACAGAUCAGCAAGGGAGGGACACCAUUCCUGAGGGAAAACUCUACACGUGAAGCAAAACAGAGGGGAAAAGGAAGGAAAAGGAGAAAAAAGGAAGGAAGAAGGAAGCUCCUGGUUCUUGCUGUGCUGAGGGGGCUGCAUCCCAGGGAUGCUCUGGGCAUCCAGAGCCUGGCAUGUCGGGGGCUCAGCCCAAGGAGGAAGGUGCAGCUGAAGUCAGCGGUGCUCAGAUGCGUUGUGUCAUUUCCCAGCUUUAAUAGGCGGAAGCGAAACGAGGGGAAAUUUAUACAACGCAGUCGGUGACUCCGGUUCUUCCCUGAACAAUGCCUUGUGCCCAGGAGAUGGCAUUCACGGGAUUCCUGCGGAAGAGGCUGCAAAGGACAUUGUUUGGAGUUUUCCUUGCAGGAGACAUGAAGGUGGAUGAAAAAGCCAAGCCCUCGUGGCACCAGUGCCCAGCACUCCCUGCAGGAGGUGGAAUGAGCUGCCCAUCCCAUGGGAAUAUGGAGGGAGCGGCUCUGGAGCCGUCCAGGCUGUUCUUGCUGGCUGAUGGAAUUUUUUAGACUAAAUAAAGUUUUCCUGCUCU
Oenanthe melanoleuca is the source of this 665-nucleotide long non-coding RNA. RefSeq lists it as uncharacterized. NCBI's taxonomy places the organism in Eukaryota, Metazoa, Chordata, Aves, Passeriformes, Muscicapidae. The transcript is spliced from 2 exons. The record is from RefSeq and is a predicted model, not a curated record.